UACGAAGGGGGCUAGCGUUGCUCGGAAUUACUGGGCGUAAAGCGCACGUAGGCGGCUUUCUAAGUCGGGGGUGAAAUCCUGGAGCUCAACUCCAGAACUGCCUUUAAAACUGCAUCGCUAGAAUUGUGGAGAGGUAAGUGGAAUUCCGAGUGUAGAGGUGAAAUUCGUAGAUAUUCGGAAGAACACCAGUGGCGAAGGCGACUUACUGGACACAUAUUGACGCUGAGGUGCGAAAGCGUGGGGAGCAAACAGG
This 253-nucleotide ribosomal RNA is filed under the name uncultured bacterium. Its description in RNAcentral is "partial 16S ribosomal RNA". It matches the Rfam family "Bacterial small subunit ribosomal RNA", at positions 524 to 776 of the family's 1533-position model. The record is from RNAcentral.